GAUGAACGCUGGCGGCGUGCUUAACACAUGCCAGUCGAACGAAGCAUUUGCGACAGAUUUUUUCGGAAUGAAGUUGCUUAUGACUGAGUGGCGGACGGGUGAGUAACGCGUGGGUAACCUGCCUUGUACUGGGGGAUAGCAGCUGGAAACGGCUGGUAAUACCGCAUAAGCGCACAAUGUUGCAUGACAUGGUGUGAAAAACUCCGGUGGUAUAAGAUGGACCCGCGUCUGAUUAGCUAGUUGGUGAGAUAACAGCCCACCAAGGCGACGAUCAGUAGCCGAGCUGAGAGGGUGACCGGCCACAUUGGGACUGAGACACGGCCCAGACUCCUACGGGAGGCAGCAGUGGGGAAUAUUGCACAAUGGAGGAAACUCUGAUGCAGCGACGCCGCGUGAGUGAAGAAGUAAUUCGUUAUGUAAAGCUCUAUCAGCAGGGAAGAUAGUGACGGUACCUGAAUAAGAAGCUCCGGCUAAAUACGUG
This 481-nucleotide ribosomal RNA is filed under the name uncultured bacterium. RNAcentral describes it as "partial 16S ribosomal RNA". It matches the Rfam family "Bacterial small subunit ribosomal RNA", at positions 28 to 507 of the family's 1533-position model. The record is from RNAcentral.